RNAcentral lists this ribosomal RNA (614 nucleotides) under uncultured bacterium. RNAcentral's name for it is "bacterial SSU rRNA". It matches the Rfam family "Bacterial small subunit ribosomal RNA", at positions 28 to 640 of the family's 1533-position model. The record is from RNAcentral.
GAUGAACGCUAGCGGCAGGCUUAACACAUGCAAGUCGAGGGGUAUUAUGUUUUCGGACAUAAGAGACCGGCGCACGGGUGCGUAACGCGUAUGCAAUCUACCUUUUACAGGAGUAUAGCCCGGAGAAAUCCGGAUUAAUCCUCCAUAGUAUUAUAGAGUGGCCUCAUUUUAUAAUUAAAGCUACGGCGGUAAGAGAUGAGCAUGCGUCUUAUUAGCUGGUUGGUGUGGUAACGGCAUACCAAGGCAACGAUAAGUAGGGGUUCUGAGAGGGAGCACCCCCACACUGGUACUGAGACACGGACCAGACUCCUACGGGAGGCAGCAGUGAGGAAUAUUGGACAAUGGGUGAGAGCCUGAUCCAGCCAUGCCGCGUGCAGGAUGACGGCCUUAUGGGUUGUAAACUGCUUUUCUGGAGGAAGAAUAAUAUCGAUUAUUCGAUAGAUGACGGUACUUCAGGAAUAAGCAUCGGCUAACUCCGUGCCAGCAGCCGCGGUAAUACGGAGGAUGCAAGCGUUAUCCGGAAUUAUUGGGUUUAAAGGGUCCGCAGGCGGGAAAUUAAAUCAGUGGUGAAAUGCACCGGCUCAACCGGGAGAAUUGCCAUUGAUACUGAUAUC